This 86-nucleotide transfer RNA is filed under the name Chloroidium sp. UTEX 3077. RNAcentral describes it as "tRNA-Leu". It matches the Rfam family "tRNA". From Rfam's summary of the family: Transfer RNA (tRNA) molecules are approximately 80 nucleotides in length. Their secondary structure includes four short double-helical elements and three loops (D, anti-codon, and T loops). Further hydrogen bonds mediate the characteristic L-shaped molecular structure. tRNAs have two regions of fundamental functional importance: the anti-codon, which is responsible for specific mRNA codon recognition, and the 3' end, to which the tRNAs corresponding amino acid is attached (by aminoacyl-tRNA synthetases). tRNAs cope with the degeneracy of the genetic code in two manners: having more than one tRNA (with a specific anti-codon) for a particular amino acid; and 'wobble' base-pairing, i.e. permitting non-standard base-pairing at the 3rd anti-codon position. The record is from RNAcentral. Lineage: Eukaryota; Viridiplantae; Chlorophyta; Trebouxiophyceae; Watanabeales; Watanabeaceae.
UGCUUGCUUGGUGAAAUAGGUAAACACAACAGAUUUAAAAUCUGUACCCUAUGUUGGGUUACCGGUUCAACUCCGGUAGCGAGCAA